GAUCUUACCUGGUGGUCCUGAAGGUGGUUUUCCCAGGGCGAGGCUUCAUUGCACUCCGAAUGUGCUGACCACGCUGAGUUCCCCAAAUGUGGGAAACGUGACUGCAUAAUUUAUGGGGGACUAUGUUCAUACUCUCUCC
This 139-nucleotide small nuclear RNA is filed under the name Dasypus novemcinctus (nine-banded armadillo). RNAcentral's name for it is "U1 spliceosomal RNA (ENSDNOG00000029791.1)". It matches the Rfam family "U1 spliceosomal RNA", at positions 18 to 166 of the family's 166-position model. From Rfam's summary of the family: U1 is a small nuclear RNA (snRNA) component of the spliceosome (involved in pre-mRNA splicing). Its 5' end forms complementary base pairs with the 5' splice junction, thus defining the 5' donor site of an intron. The record is from RNAcentral. Lineage: Eukaryota; Metazoa; Chordata; Mammalia; Cingulata; Dasypodidae.